Molecule: transfer RNA, 77 nt
Filed under: Rhizobium sp. AQ_MP
Lineage: Bacteria; Pseudomonadati; Pseudomonadota; Alphaproteobacteria; Hyphomicrobiales; Rhizobiaceae
Description: tRNA-Arg
Rfam family: tRNA
About the family: Transfer RNA (tRNA) molecules are approximately 80 nucleotides in length. Their secondary structure includes four short double-helical elements and three loops (D, anti-codon, and T loops). Further hydrogen bonds mediate the characteristic L-shaped molecular structure. tRNAs have two regions of fundamental functional importance: the anti-codon, which is responsible for specific mRNA codon recognition, and the 3' end, to which the tRNAs corresponding amino acid is attached (by aminoacyl-tRNA synthetases). tRNAs cope with the degeneracy of the genetic code in two manners: having more than one tRNA (with a specific anti-codon) for a particular amino acid; and 'wobble' base-pairing, i.e. permitting non-standard base-pairing at the 3rd anti-codon position.
Source: RNAcentral
GGCCCGUUGGCGCAACUGGAUAGCGCGGCGGAUUUCUACCCUGCAGGAUCGUGGUUCGAAUCCACGACGGGCCACCA